This is a small nucleolar RNA of Dioscorea cayenensis subsp. rotundata (Guinea yam), 107 nucleotides long. NCBI's taxonomy places the organism in Eukaryota, Viridiplantae, Streptophyta, Magnoliopsida, Dioscoreales, Dioscoreaceae. The record is from RefSeq and is a predicted model, not a curated record.
AAACCAUAUUGAGGACAUUUGCGUAAAAGAUCCUUGAACCGUUCAUGUGCCUAAAAAAGUUUUUCAGAGUCUCUCUGCAUGAAAGAUGAGAUCUCCUAUCUCAGUCU